CCUACGGGAGGCUGCAGUGGGGAAUUUUGGGCAAUGGCCGAAAGGCUGACCCAGCGACGCCGCGUGUGGGAUGACGCCUCUCGGGGUGUAAACCACUGUCAGAGGGGAAGAAUGGCUCAGGCGUAAAUAAUACCUGAGUGUGACGGUACCCUCAAAGGAAGCACCGGCUAACUCCGUGCCAGCAGCCGCGGUAAUACGGAGGGUGCAAGCGUUGUUCGGAUUUACUGGGCGUAAAGCGCGCGCAGGUGGGUGUGCAAGUCGGAAGUGAAAUCCUG
Molecule: ribosomal RNA, 275 nt
Filed under: uncultured bacterium
Lineage: Bacteria
Description: partial 16S ribosomal RNA
Rfam family: Bacterial small subunit ribosomal RNA
Source: RNAcentral